GACUCCGCAGAGAUCCUCAUCAUCCUAUCACCGUUCAAGAUCACCUGAAUACUAAUACUGUGCACCUGUGUAUUUGUGUCACAUGACUCAGAUAGAUCGUAUUUUAGCCCGGGCUAUAGCUAGAAUCAUUGCGAGGUAUUGCUUUCCUUAGAGAAACUACUGAGCAGUCUUCCUGUUAUCCAUCGUGUGUAUGACCUUCUGCUUUCCGUUUUCUCUGACUGUGUUUUUGGAUUUGCCCCUGUGUACUUUUGCCUGGUUUAUUGGAUUUAUGGUUUUGACCCAUCGCCUGUUUUUUGGACUUCGCUCUGUUUUCCCCUGUAACAGCUUCUUGACAUCUACACAUCCUGUCAGCCCCAUAGCAUUGAGAUGGACAGAAACACCUGUGGAUGUUUUCAGAUCUGAAGCAAGAGUGGAGCUCGAUUUUCUCUCAAAGAUGAAAGCUUUAAGUACUUUUUGUCUGAUGGUGGAGGUUUUGAUGCUCCAGCCCUUGCAGAAAAGCCACAUAUAUUUCACAUGUGAAAUGUGCAAACCACAUGUUUAGAAGUAAUCAUAUGUUUUUUCCUUUAAUAUGUGCAGUGUCCAAAAAUCACAAUUCAAUUUCUGUAAGGGCAGGUCUUGCAUAGUUGUUAGAAGUCCUGCUUUCUCUGUGUCUUUUAAUAGUUUUUUUUUAACUCCUUUUUUGGGAAACUCCUACAUUUUCUCCUAAUUUGUUUCCUUUGACUUUUCCCUUCCUUAUGCAAAUAAAUGAACUUAUAUAUAAUUUCCUCAGAAAUAUCUCCUAAAAAAGUAAUAACUUGUUCUUAAUGGCAGUUUUGACUGGAAAUGAAAUAAACGAAGGGUCUGACUUG
Long non-coding RNA from Colossoma macropomum (tambaqui), 848 nucleotides. RefSeq lists it as uncharacterized. Lineage: Eukaryota; Metazoa; Chordata; Actinopteri; Characiformes; Serrasalmidae. The record is from RefSeq and is a predicted model, not a curated record. The transcript is spliced from 2 exons.